This 75-nucleotide transfer RNA is filed under the name Chloroflexota bacterium. RNAcentral's name for it is "tRNA-Lys". It matches the Rfam family "tRNA". From Rfam's summary of the family: Transfer RNA (tRNA) molecules are approximately 80 nucleotides in length. RNAcentral also lists the same sequence under 3 other names. Lineage: Bacteria; Bacillati; Chloroflexota. The record is from RNAcentral.
GGGCCGUUAGCUCAGCGGUAGAGCAGCCGCCUUUUAAGCGGUCGGUCGUGGGUUCGAAUCCCACACGGCUCACCA